This 492-nucleotide ribosomal RNA is filed under the name uncultured bacterium. RNAcentral's name for it is "partial 16S ribosomal RNA". It matches the Rfam family "Bacterial small subunit ribosomal RNA", at positions 29 to 507 of the family's 1533-position model. The record is from RNAcentral.
AGUGAACGCUGGCGGUAGGCCUAACACAUGCAAGUCGAACGGCGGCACAGUAAGAGCUUGCUCUUACGGGUGGCGAGUGGCGGACGGGUGAGGAAUACAUCGGAAUCUACUUUUUCGUGGGGGAUAACGUAGGGAAACUUACGCUAAUACCGCAUACGACCUACGGGUGAAAGCAGGGGAUCUUCGGACCUUGCGCGAUUGAAUGAGCCGAUGUCGGAUUAGCUAGUUGGCGGGGUAAAGGCCCACCAAGGCGACGAUCCGUAGCUGGUCUGAGAGGAUGAUCGGCCACACCGGAACUGAGACACGGUCCAGACUCCUACGGGAGGCAGCAGUGGGGAAUAUUGGACAAUGGGCGCAAGCCUGAUCCAGCCAUACCGCGUGGGUGAAGAAGGUCUUCGGGUUGUAAAGCCCUUUUGUUGGGAAAGAAAAGCAGCAGGUUAAUACCCCGCUGUUCUGACGGUACCCAAAGAAUAAGCACCGGCUAACUUCGUG